AUCGUUUUUAAUCGGUCUCAGUGUGGAGGCAACACCACAGAAAAAGCAUCUGUUCUUAUUAGCAUUAAUAUCUGCUAUGUCCUUUACUUAAGGACCCUAUGAGGUGGGAUUUGGAUUAGGAGCUUGCUCUGUGCUCUCCAUGCAUCAGCCUGGUAUUGCAGUGUUUCCAGGAAUGGUGCAGACUUA
Small nuclear RNA from Stegostoma tigrinum, 186 nucleotides. RefSeq annotates it as U2 spliceosomal RNA. The transcript has a single exon. The record is from RefSeq and is a predicted model, not a curated record. NCBI's taxonomy places the organism in Eukaryota, Metazoa, Chordata, Chondrichthyes, Orectolobiformes, Stegostomatidae.